This 77-nucleotide transfer RNA is filed under the name Clostridia bacterium. RNAcentral describes it as "tRNA-Ala". It matches the Rfam family "tRNA". From Rfam's summary of the family: Transfer RNA (tRNA) molecules are approximately 80 nucleotides in length. Their secondary structure includes four short double-helical elements and three loops (D, anti-codon, and T loops). Further hydrogen bonds mediate the characteristic L-shaped molecular structure. tRNAs have two regions of fundamental functional importance: the anti-codon, which is responsible for specific mRNA codon recognition, and the 3' end, to which the tRNAs corresponding amino acid is attached (by aminoacyl-tRNA synthetases). tRNAs cope with the degeneracy of the genetic code in two manners: having more than one tRNA (with a specific anti-codon) for a particular amino acid; and 'wobble' base-pairing, i.e. permitting non-standard base-pairing at the 3rd anti-codon position. The record is from RNAcentral. Lineage: Bacteria; Bacillati; Bacillota; Clostridia.
UGGGGCAUUAGCGCAGUUGGGAGCGCACAACACUGGCAGUGUUGGGGUCACGAGUUCGAGUCUCGUAUGCUCAACCA